GAUGAACGCUAGCUACAGGCUUAACACAUGCAAGUCGAGGGGCAGCAUGGUCUUAGCUUGCUAAGGCCGAUGGCGACCGGCGCACGGGUGAGUAACACGUAUCCAACCUGCCGUCUACUCUUGGACAGCCUUCUGAAAGGAAGAUUAAUACAAGAUGGCAUCAUGAGUCCACAUGUUCACAUGAUUAAAGGUAUUCCGGUAGACGAUGGGGAUGCGUUCCAUUAGAUAGUAGGCGGGGUAACGGCCCACCUAGUCUUCGAUGGAUAGGGGUUCUGAGAGGAAGGUCCCCCACAUUGGAACUGAGACACGGUCCAAACUCCUACGGGAGGCAGCAAUGAGGAAUAUUGGUCAAUGGGCGAGAGCCUGAACCAGCCAAGUAGCGUGAAGGAUGACUGCCCUAUGGGUUGUAAACUUCUUUUAUAAAGGAAUAAAGUCGGGUAUGGAUACCCGUUUGCAUGUACUUUAUGAAUAAGGAUCGGCUAACUCCGUGCCAGCAGCCGCGGUAAUACGGAGGAUCCGAGCGUUAUCCGGAUUUAUUGGGUUUAAAGGGAGCGUAGAUGGAUGUUUAAGUCAGUUGUGAAAGUUUGCGGCUCAACCGUAAAAUUGCAGUUGAUACUGGAUAUCUUGAGUGCAGUUGAGGCAGGCGGAAUUCGUGGUGUAGCGGUGAAAUGCUUAGAUAUCACGAAGAACUCCGAUUGCGAAGGCAGCCUGCUAAGCUGCAACUGACAUUGAGGCUCGAAAGUGUGGGUAUCAAACAGGAUUAGAUACCCUGGUAGUCCACACGGUAAACGAUGAAUACUCGCUGUUUGCGAUAUACAGCAAGCGGCCAAGCGAAAGCGUUAAGUAUUCCACCUGGGGAGUACGCCGGCAACGGUGAAACUCAAAGGAAUUGACGGGGGCCCGCACAAGCGGAGGAACAUGUGGUUUAAUUCGAUGAUACGCGAGGAACCUUACCCGGGCUUAAAUUGCAGAUGAAUUACGGUGAAAGCCGUAAGCCGCAAGGCAUCUGUGAAGGUGCUGCAUGGUUGUCGUCAGCUCGUGCCGUGAGGUGUCGGCUUAAGUGCCAUAACGAGCGCAACCCUUGUUGUCAGUUACUAACAGGUUCCGCUGAGGACUCUGACAAGACUGCCAUCGUAAGAUGUGAGGAAGGUGGGGAUGACGUCAAAUCAGCACGGCCCUUACGUCCGGGGCUACACACGUGUUACAAUGGGGGGUACAGAGGGCCGCUACCACGCGAGUGGAUGCCAAUCCCAAAAACCUCUCUCAGUUCGGACUGGAGUCUGCAACCCGACUCCACGAAGCUGGAUUCGCUAGUAAUCGCGCAUCAGCCACGGCGCGGUGAAUACGUUCCCGGGCCU
Molecule: ribosomal RNA, 1358 nt
Filed under: uncultured bacterium
Lineage: Bacteria
Description: bacterial SSU rRNA
Rfam family: Bacterial small subunit ribosomal RNA
Source: RNAcentral